RNAcentral lists this transfer RNA (76 nucleotides) under Mycobacterium sp. RNAcentral describes it as "tRNA-Lys". It matches the Rfam family "tRNA". From Rfam's summary of the family: Transfer RNA (tRNA) molecules are approximately 80 nucleotides in length. RNAcentral also lists the same sequence under 1 other name. The record is from RNAcentral. Lineage: Bacteria; Bacillati; Actinomycetota; Actinomycetes; Mycobacteriales; Mycobacteriaceae.
GGACUGGUAGCUCAGUCGGUAGAGCAACGGCCUUUUAAGCCGAUGGUCCUGGGUUCGAGUCCCAGCCGGUCCACCA